UGUGAGGAGAGGUGAGGGAGAGUUGAAAGUGGCCAAAUCCCAGUUGUUGCUGCAGUGCCAAAUUCCUCCUCACAAGGUGAAUCGCUCUGGCUGGCUGGUGGAUAAGCACGCAUCGUCGGAGAGAGCGUACCUUAUCAGAGGUGUGUCGAGAGGAUGUGGCUGAGAACAGCAUCCCCUUUGGCCGCCCCAUUCUCUCCCCCUCGCUGAACUCCUGCCACAACCACAAAUAAUCUGCCAAGUCAAGGAGAGGAAUUUGAAUAAUCGCAUUCUCUUUUUUCUGCACGUAUCUAUACAUUCAGUUUGUUGUCGCGAAUUAAUUUUUAAUCGGGGAGAAAAUGGCCCAUCGUCAAGGCCCCCCAUUGCCGCCAAUGUUAAACUUGGGCAGUUUGAGGGGUGGAGGGACAGGAUCAGAUAUCAACACAAGAAAGAAACAUUUGGGUCUCGACUUUGGUUCCAUUCUGAAAGAUAAUGAAAAGAAAAAGUCGGAAACGGAUCGAAAAUUUGAAGAAAUUAUUAACCGCAGUGGCAUGAUUACAAUUAAUGGCAAGGUUUAUAAGACUGAGAUUGAUGAAAUGGAGAAUGUCAGUGAGUUGGGUCAAGGCACUUCAGGUCAUGUCGUUAGAAUGACGCACCGACCAUCAAAUUAUACUGUUGCCGUUAAGCAAAUGAGACGUUCUGGCAACCCUGAUGAGAACAAACGGAUCAUUAUGGACCUUGAAGUUGUAUUACAGUCCAAAUGUCCUUUCAUCGUGCAAUGUUGUGGAUAUUUUAUCACUGCUUCGGAUGUGUGGAUUUGUAUGGAAAUGAUGCAAACCUGCAUGGAUAAACUACUAAAGCGACUAAAGAAACCCAUUCCAGAAUCAAUUUUAGGGAAAGUAGCAAUGGCUACGGUGAAGGCGCUUAACUACCUUAAAGAGAACCAUGGUGUUAUCCACAGGGAUGUCAAACCGUCGAAUAUCUUGCUUGAUGAAAAGGGAAACGUAAAACUAUGCGAUUUUGGAAUUUCCGGUCGGCUUGUUGAUUCGAAAGCUAAAACCCGUUCUGCUGGUUGCACUGGAUAUAUGGCUCCGGAAAGAAUCGAUCCCCCAGAUCCAUCAAACCCCAAUUAUGACAUUCGUGCUGACGUCUGGAGCCUUGGUAUCACUCUUGUUGAACUUGCUACAAGUAAAUUUCCAUACGGUGAUUGCCACACAGAUUUUGAAGUGAUGACAAAAAUUCUCAGAGUUGAUCCUCCUAGUCUACCUUCUGAUAUGAAUUUUUCUGAAGAAUUCUGCAGUUUUGUUAACUUAUGCCUUCAGAAAGAUUUCAAGCAGAGACCCAAGUACAAAAUAUUGCUGAACCAUCCCUUCAUCAAACGAAGUGAGAGGAGUGCGGUAGACGUUCGCACUUGGUACAAUCUUGUUGUCCCACAAAAGCAUCCCGUUUCCAACUCUUUGUCAUUUCAAUCAAAUAUUGGACGUCAUUCCGGCCGUAUGUUGAGAUCCUCUACCGCUGGGUCACCAUCUCCAUCUGGAUCGAAUACUUUCGUCACGACGCCAGGAACUCGGCCCAGUAGGUAUGAAGAGUUCAGUUUACCGUCACCAAACUUGAGAACUCCGACGCCGUCGACCCCUGGGACGCCAAGCCCAAAUAAUUCAAUCCCACCAGAGCCUCCUCCAAGACUUAGUCGUAUGUCAUCCGGAUCUGAUGGACUGAGGACGCCAACCAACAGCAGCAGCUCGAGUAGUGGAAACAACUUGACCAGUCCCAGCCCAACGUCAGUGUCCAUGUCCAGUCCAUCUCCUGAUGGUCCCCCACCAAUACGGAGAGAACAAUUGCAACAAUCUUGACUUUUAUUUUCCUUGCAUGGAUACUUCUUGGAAUGACUUAAAAAUGCCAAUAAUGCAGACUGCGUGCCGUUUUACUUUGCUACAACAGCAGUUGUUGAAUAUAAUAUGGACACGGGAAUUGAAUUUUAUUUAUCUGUACAUUCUCCCAAUGAUUUUCUGGAAAUACGUCGUGAAAAAAAGCAGCAUUAAUUAAGAAAAAUCAAACAAAAGUCUAAUCUACAAAAGACAAUGUCUCACUUCGCAAAAAGAAACGAUGGUGGAGUCACUUGACUGAUAUGACGCGUAAUAAUAGUAAUAAUUACAUAGUAAUACAAAAAAAAUCGUUGAGAUGACCACUUCAGGACGUGGUUAUUAAUGUUUUAUCUGCACCAGAAUUGUAUUUUGUUAAACUUAUUAUUUUGUUUUUAAUGUCACUCGCAAUUGUUUUUAAUUUAUGAUGGUAAUACUAAUGAUGUCAAAAGUAUGUGGGCAAGUACGAUCGCUCAAAUAAGGAUUACAGAAUUUAUAUACUUCCUUUUUCAUGAUUUCCGCACUGUGUUAUUCUUUGUAAUCUAAAGUAUUAAUUGUUUAAGAUAGAACUGACGGACAUAACAUUAACGAAUUGAAUUAAGCGUCCAAAUCGAAAGUGUCAAUUUUUAUCAUUGUCGAACAUAUAGUUUUUAAACUUCCGUCGGUCAAUAGCUAAAUCACGAAUUAUUAUUAGAACCGCAUAUUAUCAAAUAAUAGAUGAAUCCAUCGCGUAUGGUUAAUACAUAUAUUAUAUCUUGAAUAGUUCAGUGUCAAAUGUACAACCAUUUAAAAACAAAACAAAUGUAUUAGUCACAACUCGUAACUAUAUAGGAUCCUGCACUUUGAGAAAUAUCUAUAAAAAUGCUAUAAGACUACCUUACCACAGUUUUGCAUAUCGUAAUCAUUUCAGUUAUUUUUAAAACUGCUGAUUUUACUGUAACGAGCCGCUGCGCUGGUAGCCGAUAAGUGUAUCAGAUGCGGUGUAUUGUGGUUAUUGAAUAUUUAACGAACCCUUCAUUUCCAGUUUUAAUUCAAAACUCAUUUUACCAGAAUUGAAACUGCCAACGAUUUAGUGCUUUCUGCAUCGUCGCAGGACGAAAUAAAAGUUAAGACAAUUUUACCCUUUAUUAGGAAUAAUAAUAUGUAUUAUAAGAUUGAAACUACUUAAAUAAGAAGACGAUUUUCGAUGUAUUCCUCAUAUUCAAUAAUAUUGACAUGAACCACGUAUUUACGCAGUAUCCAUCAGCGUUUAAAUUCAAUAAUUACAAUUUAGUAGGGUAUCCUGUUAAUUGAUAUGGGUUGUGAAACGUUCACGAUUUGACGAUUAUCCUCCAUUUGUUAUGACCUACUUAUUAUUAUUGUUAUCAUACAUUACCUCGCUAUAUAAAGUGACAUUUUGAUUGAUAUGACGAUUGGGCCAGUAAAGGUUCAUGAAAAUUAUGACGAAAUCAAAUAGUAUGAAUGAAAGGUGGUAAAGAAGUGCUGCGAGUAAUAAUUAUAUACCAACAAUUUGCUAUGCCAUUUGAAAAUGUUUUAAAAAUAUCAUGUUUGCUGGAAUCUACAACUUGAGAAAAGUGCUCCGAUGAGUUCAAAUAAACAAUGAUAAACUAUAAAA
This is an RNA transcript of Folsomia candida, 3453 nucleotides long. It is a transcript of the gene named dual specificity mitogen-activated protein kinase kinase 7, with no coding region annotated. Lineage: Eukaryota; Metazoa; Arthropoda; Collembola; Entomobryomorpha; Isotomidae. The record is from RefSeq and is a predicted model, not a curated record. The transcript is spliced from 12 exons.